UAACCCUACAAAUUCUCUUUCGGAGUUCUGGCAACUUUCAGGUUCCUCCCAAUCGCUCCGAUGCCUUUGAUGUUCACAUCUUCCGGACGAGAGUCAUCUGUGACAGGAUAAUGGAAGAUCUAGUUAUCAAAGGCUUAUUGGGGCGUUCUUUUUUUCAUGUUGAGUUCGUAGCAUAAUCUCCAACUUUUGCAGAGUAUUGCAACACCGAAGUAGCACAGGCAGACAUUUCAUUACCAUUACUCUAUUAGAUAUUGAAUUGAGUAUUAUUUGCUUUCGUUUUGAGCCUAUGCUGUUGAAUUUGAUGUUAUGUUAACACAAGUUAAUAUUUCUGUGGGAGUGUUGUUGAGAUUUGUCUGUAAAAACUAAGCUUUUUAUUUAAUCAAUAUUAUGAAGAUGUGGUAUGUGGGAGAUGUGUUGGACACCAAUUUAAGGGAGAAAA
Solanum tuberosum (potato) is the source of this 439-nucleotide long non-coding RNA. RefSeq lists it as uncharacterized. NCBI's taxonomy places the organism in Eukaryota, Viridiplantae, Streptophyta, Magnoliopsida, Solanales, Solanaceae. The record is from RefSeq and is a predicted model, not a curated record. The transcript has 2 exons.